CAUAUGAAGAAAAGACUGUUUCGUUUCAAUUAUGUUCCUGGUACCACGAUGAACGAGCACAUUACCAAUUUUAAUCAGCUGGUGGCUGAUUUGUUGAAUUUGGAUGUGACUUUUGAAGACGAAGACUUGGCGUUAAUGUUGUUGGGAUCGCUUCCUGAGGAGUUUGAGUACCUUGAAACUACUCUACUUCAUGGAAAAUCGGAAGUAACUUUCAAUGAAGUAACUGCUGCAUUGUAUAGCUAUGAACUACGCCGAAAGGAUAAGUUGAAAGGUUCAGGUGAAGCAGCAGUGGAAGCAUUGGUAACAAGAGGUCGUCAGCAAAGUCAGUCUAAUGGGAAGAGAAGAAAGUCCAAAGGUCGAGCUGUUGCCAAAGAUGAAUGUUCCUUUUGCAAAGAAAAAAGACAUUGGAAGAAAGAUUGUCCAAAAUUGAAGAAAAAAGGGAAGACUCCGCAAGAUGCAAAUGUUGCAGAAUGCAAUAGGGAAGACUUGGCGUUAAUGUUGUUGGGAUCGCUUCCUGAGGAGUUUGAGUACCUUGAAACUACUCUACUUCAUGGAAAAUCGGAAGUAACUUUCAAUGAAGUAACUGCUGCAUUGUAUAGCUAUGAACUACGCCGAAAGGAUAAGUUGAAAGGUUCAGGUGAAGCAGUAGUGGAAGCAUUGGUAACAAGAGGUCGUCAGCAAAGUCAGUCUAAUGGGAAGAGAAGAAAGUCCAAAGGUCGAGCUGUUGCCAAAGAUGAAUGUUCCUUUUGCAAAGAAAAAGGACAUUGGAAGAAAGAUUGUCCAAAAUUGAAGAAAAAAGGGAAGACUCCGCAAGAUGCAAAUGUUGCAGAAUGCAAUAGUGAAGCAGAGUCAGACUUUUCUCUUAGUAUGACAUCUUCAACAUUAUAUGCAGAUGAGUGGAUCAUGGAUUCUGG
RNAcentral lists this long non-coding RNA (914 nucleotides) under Gossypium barbadense (sea-island cotton). RNAcentral describes it as "long non-coding RNA (GBAR_LNC015349)". Lineage: Eukaryota; Viridiplantae; Streptophyta; Magnoliopsida; Malvales; Malvaceae. The record is from RNAcentral.